CCUUCGGGAGGCAGCAGUGGGGAAUAUUGGGCAAUGGGCGCAAGCCUGACCCAGCAACGCCGCGUGAAGGAAGAAGGCUCUCGGGUUGUAAACUUCUUUUAUCAGGGACGCAGCAAGUGACGGUACCUGAUGAAUAAGCCACUGCUAACUACGUGCCAGCAGCCUCGGUAAUACGUAGGUGGCAAGCGUUCUCCGGAUUUACUGGGGGUAAAGGACGUGUAGGCGGGAAAGCAAGUCAGAGGGGAAAACCAUGGGCUCAAACUGUUGCCUGCAUUUGAAACUGUUUUUCUUGGGUCCGGGAGAGGCAGACGGAAUUCCUAGUGUAGCGGUGAAAUGCGUAGAUAUUAGGAGGAACACCAGUGGCGAAGGCGGUCUGCUGGACAGCAACUGACGCUGAGGCGCGAAAGCGUGGGGAGCAAACAGGAUUAGAUACCCUAGUAGUC
This 443-nucleotide ribosomal RNA is filed under the name uncultured bacterium. RNAcentral describes it as "partial 16S ribosomal RNA". It matches the Rfam family "Bacterial small subunit ribosomal RNA", at positions 338 to 795 of the family's 1533-position model. The record is from RNAcentral.